CGCUUCCGCUUCCCUCCUCUCCCUCAGCUGGGCUGCGCGCGGAGAUGCGAGCCGCACGCUGGAGACCCAGAGUGUGACUUCAACAACAAUGAGCUGACUUCCGGCCCAGCCCUGCGUUCCACCUCUUGAGUGAUUUAAAAGAGGAAGCAAGAUGCCCCCCUGCCCGGCCGCGCUGGACAGAGUCUCCUCGGGCGUGGGUCAGCCCCGCGGCAGGAAGUCUCUCAUCCUCCUCACCCGGUUCACAUCCUGGGGCCCCCGAGGAUGAGCAGGAAGUGGGGAGUAUCUGGCUCGCCGCGUGGGGGCCCUUAGGUAAACAAGACACCGCUUUCUGAACGGCUCCGCGCAACCACCUCACACGGUCGUGUCCACGGCGACCAGUCAGGAAGGGUUCGGGAUAUUUAUGUUUUCUGAGUGCUGUUCUAGUCACUCCCUUCUUCCUGGUUGUUGGAAUCCCUGUGACCGGGAAUGCGAAAGGCCACUCGGGAGCUUCUCCCAGGAGGAAAGAGCCCACGGUAGCGCCUCCGCUCAAGACCAGAAAGGCUGCUGUGUUCAGCUUGGUGGUUUAGAUUGGGACGUCCCCUCCGUGUCUCGGUGCCCGCCAUUGUCAGAGGAAGGGGCUGCCAUUGCUAAGCGCCCCAGGCCAAGUGUUCUGAGUCAGUGGGCCGCUGAGCAGGCCACACAGAAGCCCUCUGGAGUCUGAGGGACUUUUCUUAACCUCUCGGUCUUCUUUGCCUUCCUCGCACGGUGCCUUGGCCCCGGGGAGCCAGGCCCUGGGACUUGGUACCGCGAGUCUCCAGCCGGCCAGCUGACCUUGUCCUCGGCGCCUCUUUCAGGGUCUUCCUCAGGGUGAUUGCCCUAGUCGCAGCCCUGGAGUCCCAGUGGAGGCCCUCGGACGGCACGUGCUGUGAACGCUUUGCUGUGUCCUCGGCCUUUUUGCUGACAUUUCUUGUAGCAAUUGUCAUUGCUAAAUGGCAGUGUCAACUGAGUCCAGACACGGGAAGAUCCUCGUCUCUGUCCCGUGGGGGAUCAAGUUCAAGUGAGUGUGCUGCUGGGGUCCAAGAGCUUCUGGUGAGUGGCCCGUCCCUUCCUCAACUCCUCCUACUAAUGGGCACCCAUGUUCCCAGGCAGAAUUCUUGUUCACUCAUCAGGUACAAGACCCAGACACCAAAAUAGCACUUGUGUCAGAAACUGGUACUGCUCGGUGGCUUCGGGGAUUUAUUUUUUUCGCUUGGCUCUACUUCCCUCCCGGCAUCUGUGGACGUGUGGAGGAUGUGACACAGGCUGGGUGGCUAGGUUCAGAAGCGAUCCAAACAUUACACAGAGAGACAAGAAUUUCAGAGGUGUUGCAGAGGACGGGCCGGCACCAUCGAUGUAGGGCAGACACAGGCCCCAAGUUUUGCAGGCGUCCAGCUUGUAUAGGACGCGGGGCCCAGAGGAACGACAUUCAACUCUAAAUGAAGAAUUUACAACACAACUUUGUACGUACGAAAGGAUGUCAUCGUUUAGCAGCUCUCUGCUAUGGCCUGGGAGAGUAGUAGAAGACGACCCAAAUCCUUGGGCCUCUGCACCCUGACUUCAGAUGAUUCCAGCUCUAGCCGUUGCAGCCAUUUGGGAGUGAACCAGUGGAUGGAAGACCUCUCUCUCUCUCUCUCUCUCUCUCUCUCUCUCUCUCUCUUUCUCUGCCUCUGUGUAACUCUGCCUUUCAAAUAAAUAAAUCUUUAAAACAAUUCAUUGCAUCUUAGAAAUUACAUAGAAAUGAAAACUCUGCAUUGUGUGACAGGCAAUGGACUACAUGCUUUACCCACAUGAACAAUUAAUAUUCUAAGGGACCGUAGACAGGGCGGCCUCACUGCAGAUGAGAGAACCAGAUCUCCAAGAGUGGCGGUCGCUUGGCCAAGGCCAUGAGAAGGGUAAGGGGAUGAGAACUGAAUUCUUUAUGAAACCUCAGGCCACAUGCUCAGUUACUAAGCAUGCUGAGUUUGUUGAAGAACAGCCUGUCACUGGAGCCGCACACACGGAGCAGGGGUUGAGGUUGUCCUGGCUAUGCAGGGCCUGGGGGGAACUUUGGGGAGCUAAGGAAAGGAGAGGGAGCUGCUGGUUCUGUGGGCUACACUCAUGGUCAUUUUCCUGCUUAGGUCUCAAAGCUCAGCCGCGACCCCUGCCAAUGGAUGCCCUGUCCCCCCGGACACCCCCCUCCCCAGGAGUGCACGUCCCUCCCUCUGCCCACCCUCUCUCAGGGUGCUUUUGGUGCACCAUCUUUCUCUUGGAGCCCGAGGGACUUCCCUGUUCUCUCGGAGCCCAGUCCAAGAGUCUCAUGCUGGUGUGCACACAAUGCCUGCCACUCCUAUUCUCGUCUUCCCUGUCCCAUCAGUUCCUCUCAAACGCCCUCCUCCUCCUCCUGCCCCCCAGGCUCCCACUGUUAACUUAUUCCAGUCUAUGCAUGUGCCUUCCCUGGCCAGCAGCAACCGGUACUCUGACAGCCACGGUGGAGGGUGACAAGGCAGCCUGGAGGCCAAUAGUUAGGACACAGCCUAGUGGGGGCCAGGUGUUGGCUUGUGAAACGGCCCUGUUGAAUGGCAGAGCCAUAGGGACAGUGCGGGGGGUGGUUAUUCACUCAAAUUCACUCAUACAUUCAAGUUUUUAAAAAUUGAAUUCCUGGUGUUGGGGACGGAGCCGUGCCUUGGAAAACUCAGAGCCCAAGGAGUGGAAGACUAUGAUGACAGAGGGUCAGUGCGGGCAGCCAUAGUCUGAGUGCUGUGAGUCUGUGUGUGUGUGAGUGUGUGUGUGAGAGUGUGUGUGUGGACAUGUGUGUGUGGGCUUGUGUGUGUGGGAGGGGAGGGGGGCCUGCAGGUGGAGGUGCAGCAGGUGCUAAUGCUGAGCGCAGGAGAGGGCAGGUGCUUCCACAAAUAUACACACAGCAGCGUGGCUGGGAUAGCCCAUGUGUGGGGAGGAAUGGUAAAAGCCACUCAUUCUGAUGGACUCGUCAGCCAUGACCCUAACCCAUGCUGCAGCUGAUCACUGAGGAGACAGAGGUAAGGAAACCAGUGAGGGCUGAGACCUGCCCUGGGGCCGGCAGGAGCAGGAGGUGUUACCAUCCCUGGAGCAGUUACUGAAAACUCUUAAGAAAUUCUAAGAAUGCUCUAGCUGCAGGUGUAGGAGUUGGGGACUUGGGUUAAAGCAACCAGUGCCUGCCACCCACAGCCCAGCAGGGAACUGCGGUGCAGGGUGAGGAAGAGAGGGCUGUGUGAUGGAGGGCUGCCUGGUGGCGGUGGUCUUAGGCAUGAGCAGUUGCCGCAGUGGGAACCAGCCCCAGGAGCAUGUUGCUUGGCUUGGGAAUGGUUCUGCUAGGGCCCUUGGGCUUGGCAGUGGAACGUUUUCCAUUUCUGUCCUUGUGAUCUUUUCAUCUUGCUAUUGACAUAUACUUUCCUUGACGGGAAUGGCUUAUGGCCACCUUCUAGGCUCCACGCAACUUCUAAAGGAAAAGUGCGGCCUCAUAUAUGAGUCAUCAUGCAGGAACUCUACGUUUGGUAGGACUCAUCUUUUUUAUAACAGGAAGUCAAUACAUGUUGCUAAGCUACUGUGUCCACCAAAAAAAACCAUAUAGUAGAUUCCAUUGUACUCUUGUGUUCUGUGAGAGUUGAUGAUUCCUCGAUGUUAAUCCAGGGCUUUUGUUCUUGACCUCCUUUGCCCAAAGUUAAUUAGAGUUUGGCCAUGGCAUACUUGGUGUAAACAAAAUAAAAAAGGCCUGAAUCAGAAUUUCCCAUGAGAAAACAGUCUUAAACUUUCUCAAAAGAACUUAAAAAGCUCUACUGGUCCAUGCUUUUAGCUUCCGCAUCUAUCAUCUAUCAUCUAUCUAUCUAUCUAUCUAUCUAUUAUCUAUAUCAUCCAUCUAUUCAAGGACCUUGCAAAUCUCUGAUUUAAUCUUACUGUUGCAAAGAAAAGAAAUACAAGGACUCCUCAAAAAGUUAAUGGAAGAUGCAUAUUAAGAAAAAUCUAUGCGUGGGGCCGGCACAGUGGCACACUUAGUUAAUCCUCUGCCUGCGGCACCAGCAUCCCAAUAUGGUGUCGGGUUCUAGUCUCAGUUACUCCUCUUCCAGUCCAGCUCUCUACUGUGGCCUGGGAAGGCAGCGGAGGAUGGCCCAAGUGCUUGGGCCCCUGCACUGUGUGGGAGACCAGGAGGAAGCAUCUGGCUCCUGGCUUCGGAUGGGCGUAGCUCCGUCCUUGGCAGCCAUUUUGGGGGGUGAACCAAUGGAAGGAAGACCUUUCUCUCUGUCUCUCUCUCUCACUGUCUAACUCCGUCAGAUUAAAAAAAAUAAAGAAAAGAAAAUCCAUGCAUGAAUUUCAAAAUCUUUUUGCAUCAAAAUAAACUUAUCUUUUCACUCCAUUUCUAAUGACAGUUUCAAAUCCCCUGUACACAGACUUCUCACAUAAGUGUUAAGAGUUGCAAGCUCCUUGUUUGGUCUACUGGGGUUGGGGCAUCUGUUAUCACCUCUGAAAAGAGAAAGGCAGUCAGAGACCAUUUGGAAGUGCAGUGUAACGAAAGAAGAACUAGGCCUCCAUUACACCAUUUCCCCAAGACAGAAAUUUCAAAUAAUGGACAUCACUGCCUGUAUCAGAGGCUGUGAACCUCAGUGGGGUCAUCUUGUCUUAAUAUUUAAUGUACAUGAACUCACUUGACAGAGUUGACAAUUAGGGUACCAUUCAAUCCAAGGUCCACAAGAAGGAGGGAUGGGUGCACUGGAACUGGCUCUUCCUGCAGCUGGAAUUUCUUACGUGCGCUCCGUGUCAACGCCUCACCCUGCGGAGUGCACUGACGGCAGCUUUUAUCCCCACACAGCAUUGUUUCCGAACGCAAGUCACUGUCCUCAUCUCAUCUCCGCGAGUAGCUCCAGCUUCAGGGUGAGAGCUGGCUGUGCUGAGCUUUCUGAGAGAUGAGCUGUCCAUCUCCAGGUGCUUCGCAGUUAGGGGCUUGCUCAUUUUAGCAGUGGUCAUAAGGAUUUGAGAGUGAAAAAAGGUAUUGUGAAGCUAGGGCAUCGAGUUCUAAACUGAUUCAGGAGGCAAGAAAUGUGUGUGAGACCUGAGCUGAGACUUGUACCUGGAGGACCUGGGCUGUAAGUAUGUGCCCAGGAAUUUUCCUAUGUGUUCCAACUUCCUGCCAAAGAUGCACAUUUCUGAUGAAAAGGAACUUCCAAAACUCAUUUUCCAUCUACGUGCUUUCACCAGUAUGCUAGCCUCUGACCCCAACACUCAUGGAAGCCAUAAUGGUUAGAUUCUGAGUUCCAACUCCAUUGACAAUUACCUUGUUAUUUCUGCUAAGCCUCAGUUUCCUCAAAUGUAAUAGUGGAUCUUACCUAAUAGGGUAGUUCUGCUGAUCAGAUGAGAUGAUCAAAUGAAAUGCACUGAGCACCUGCAUUUAAUAAGUAAUGCAAUCGAUGUUUACUCUGAUCACCCAGGAAGCAAAAGCAAGCCCAUGCCUUGGCUCCACGCCACUGAUUUGUGGGAAGAACAAAGGACUGGUUCUGUGCUCUAGAUGCAAAACAAUGGAAAUAUUUUAUUUAUUUAUUUUUUAAGUUUUGUGUUUUUUUGUAAAGAUUUAUUUAUCUAUUUGAAAAGCAGAGUUACAGAAAGAGUGAGGGGGAGAGAAAGAUCUUCCAUCUGUGGCUUCACUCCCCAAAUGGCUGCACUGGCCAGGACUGGGCCAGGCCAAAGCCAGGUCUUCCAUAUGGCUUAGGGUCCCAAGCACUUGGACCAUCCUCUGUUUUUUUCCCAGGUGCAUUAGCAGGGAGCUAGAUCAGAAGUGGAGCAGCCGUAUGGGUUGCUUGCAUCUCAGGCAGUGGCCUAACCCACUCUGCCACAAUGGCGGCCCCAGCGAAAAUAUUUCAAAAGCAUUUGUGUUUCCCUGUUACAUAUGUUGUGUUUUACAUUAAUAACUCCGAAACUAUUUAAAUAUGCACGUGGCAGAUUCAGGUGUUCACUCAGUGUAUCUGGUGUAUGUUGGGCAUCUGCUGUCUGCCAAGCCAGGUGCUGGGGAAGAAGAGACAAGAUACAGCCCUUGAGCCAUGGGAGGACACAGGUGCGAGCCAGUGCGGGCAGUGGAGUGAAAGGGGCACCUGGAAGAACUUUGGUGCAGAAAGUAGGGAGUGGGCCAGAAAGGGCUGCUGGCAUGAGCAGAGCAAGAGGUGGGAAAUGGCAGGGGUUACAGGCAGCUCUGAGAAAGCCAGGUCACCAGAAGGGUCAGGGUGAAUCCUGGAAUGGUGGGCAGAGAGGCUGGAAGGAGACGCUGACCUUUGGGUCCUUGUGUGCUCCCCCAGAGCCUUGGCUCUUCAGCCUGAAGCUCUCAGGGCACCGCUAUGAAUGUGUACCCGAGGACUCCAAAGACCUCAUGGCAAAUGGAAUUAAAAGGUAAAUUUAUUUUGAUGCAAAAAACUGAAAUCCGUGCAUAAUUUAUUCAUAAUACACAUUUUCUGUGUAUUUUUUAAGUUCCCUUAAAUACAUGAAUUUUGCAUCAAAAUAAACUUACCUUGCGACAGGCGUUGUGGUAUAGUGGGUAAAGCUUCAGUCUGUGACACCGGCAUCCCAUAUGGGCUCUGGUUUGUGUCCCAGCUGCUCCACCUCUGAUCCAGCUCCUUGCUAAUGGCCUGGGAAAGCAGCGGAAGUUGGCCCAAGCAUGAGACCUGGAUGUAGCUCCUGGUUCUUUUUUUUUUUUUUUUUUUUUUUUUUUUUUUUUUUUUUUGACAGGCAGAGUGGACAGUGAGAGAGAGAGACAGAGAGAAAGGUCUUCCUUCCAUUGGUUCACCCCCCAAAUGGCCGCUACGGUCGGAGCGCUGCGCCGAUCCGAAGCCAGGAGCCAGGUGCUUCCUCCUGGUCUCCCAUGCGGGUACAGGGCCCAAGCACUUGGGCCAUCCUCCACUGCCUUCCUGGGCUACGGCAGAGAGCUGGACUGGAAGAGAAGCAACCGGGACAGAAUCCAGCACCCCAACCGGGACUAGAACCGGCGCCGCAGGUGGAGGAUUAGCCAAGUGAGCCACGGCACUGGCCCAAAGCUCCUGGUUCUUGGCUUUAGCCUGGUCCAGCCCUGGCCAUUGCCCAUUGCAGCUGUCUGGGGAGUGAAUCAGCAGAUGGAAGAUUCCCCCCCCCCCCUUCUGUGUAACUCUUUCAAAAUAAAUCUUUUAAAAAAUGAACUUUUACUUCAUUUUCUAAGAGCAUUUUGAACUAGCAUCAGAUAUUGAUAAUUUUGUGUGGAGGAUGGGUUGGAGGUGGAGACCAGAUUCAGGGUAGAUGAGGUGGCUUCUGCAUCUGUUGGAACAAGGUCUGGAUGUGGGUGGUGCCCCUGGGAAGGAGCAGGAGGCAGGGGCACUGACAGAACUGUGGAGAGUGAGGGCGGGGAGGAGGCAGAGAGGAACCCCAGGUAGCUAGAUUGGUAGUGGAGUAUGCGGUGGAGCAUAAA
Non-coding RNA from Oryctolagus cuniculus (rabbit), 7447 nucleotides. The record is from RefSeq and is a predicted model, not a curated record. NCBI's taxonomy places the organism in Eukaryota, Metazoa, Chordata, Mammalia, Lagomorpha, Leporidae.